AUACGGAGGGUGCAAGCGUUGUUCGGAAUCACUGGGCGUAAAGGGCGCGCAGGCGGUUUGGUAAGUCAGAUGUGAAAGCCCAUGGCUCAACCAUGGAAGUGCAUUUGAAACUGUCAGACUUGAGUACUAGAGGGGAAAGUGGAAUUCCCGGUGUAGAGGUGAAAUUCGUAGAUAUCGGGAGGAAUACCGGUGGCGAAGGCGACUUUCUGGCUAGAUACUGACGCUGAGGCGCGAAAGCGUGGGGAGCAAACAGGAGUAGAUACCCGAGUAGUCC
Molecule: ribosomal RNA, 274 nt
Filed under: uncultured bacterium
Lineage: Bacteria
Description: partial 16S ribosomal RNA
Rfam family: Bacterial small subunit ribosomal RNA
Source: RNAcentral